Molecule: ribosomal RNA, 327 nt
Filed under: Mycoplasmopsis arginini
Lineage: Bacteria; Bacillati; Mycoplasmatota; Mycoplasmoidales; Metamycoplasmataceae
Description: bacterial SSU rRNA
Rfam family: Bacterial small subunit ribosomal RNA
Source: RNAcentral
UGAUCAUUAGUCGGUGGAGAGUUCACUGACGCAGCUAACGCAUUAAAUGAUCCGCCUGAGUAGUAUGCUCGCAAGAGUGAAACUUAAAGGAAUUGACGGGGACCCGCACAAGCGGUGGAGCAUGUGGUUUAAUUUGAAGAUACGCGGAGAACCUUACCCACUCUUGACAUCCUUCGCAAAGCUAUAGAGAUAUAGUCGAGGUUAACGGAGUGACAGAUGGUGCAUGGUUGUCGUCAGCUCGUGUCGUGAGAUGUUUGGUCAAGUCCUGCAACGAGCGCAACCCCUAUCUUUAGUUACUAACGAGUCAUGUCGAGGACUCUAGAGAUA